This 109-nucleotide ribosomal RNA is filed under the name Paraplagusia japonica (black cow-tongue). Its description in RNAcentral is "partial 28S ribosomal RNA". It matches the Rfam family "Eukaryotic large subunit ribosomal RNA", at positions 1 to 108 of the family's 3401-position model. The record is from RNAcentral. Lineage: Eukaryota; Metazoa; Chordata; Actinopteri; Pleuronectiformes; Cynoglossidae.
GCGGCCUCAGAUCAGACGAGACGACCCGCUGAACUUAAGCAUAUCACUAAGCGGAGGAAAAGAAACUAACCAGGAUUCCCUCAGUAGCGGCGAGUGAAGAGGGAAGAGC